UCUAUAAGCCGCUUAAAAAUUACCCUCUAACCGAAGAGUGUUAGAUAGCGUCGAAGGACAAGAAGACCCUAUAGAGCUUAAUUUAAAUAAAUAUAAAAAAUUUACUAAAAUUCGGUUGGGGCGACCAGGGAAUUACCCAUCAUCCCUAAGCAAAAGAUAAAUAUAUCAAAAUACUGACCCUUCUACAAGAUCAUUAAAACAAGCUACCUUAGGGAUAACAGGCUAAUCUCACUAGAGAGUCCUUAUCAAUAGUGGGGAUUGGCACCUCGAUGUUGGCUUAGGGAAUCUCUAUAACGCAAAAGUUAUAUAAAGAUGGUUUGUUCAACCAAUAACACCCUACAUGAGCUGAGUUCAGACCGGCGUAAGCCAGGUUAGUUUCUAUCCUCGAUCACUCUAUCUAUUUAUAGUACGAAAGGACCUAAUUAGAGUAAUAUUUACAUACAGGGAAUAAAUAUAAACCAUUCUAAAUAAAAUAAAUCAUAAACUAUGAGUAAGUUGGCAGAAUAUUGCCACC
RNAcentral lists this ribosomal RNA (514 nucleotides) under Lumbricus terrestris (common earthworm). RNAcentral's name for it is "partial large subunit ribosomal RNA". The stretch from base 50 to 389 matches the Rfam family "Bacterial large subunit ribosomal RNA", at positions 2072 to 2648 of the family's 2925-position model. Lineage: Eukaryota; Metazoa; Annelida; Clitellata; Crassiclitellata; Lumbricidae. The record is from RNAcentral.